This 253-nucleotide ribosomal RNA is filed under the name uncultured bacterium. RNAcentral's name for it is "partial 16S ribosomal RNA". It matches the Rfam family "Bacterial small subunit ribosomal RNA", at positions 524 to 776 of the family's 1533-position model. The record is from RNAcentral.
GACGUAGGGCGCGAGCGUUGUCCGGAUUUAUUGGGCAUAAAGAGCUCGUAGGCGGCUUGUCGCGUCGUCCGUGAAAACUUGGGGCUCAACCCCAAGCUUGCGGUCGAUACGGGCAGGCUCGAGUUCGGUAGGGGAGACUGGAAUUCCUGGUGUAGCGGUGAAAUGCGCAGAUAUCAGGAGGAACACCGGUGGCGAAGGCGGGUCUCUGGGCCGAUACUGACGCUGAGGAGCAAAAGCGUGGGGAGCGAACAGG